This 434-nucleotide ribosomal RNA is filed under the name uncultured Coprococcus sp. RNAcentral's name for it is "partial 16S ribosomal RNA". It matches the Rfam family "Bacterial small subunit ribosomal RNA", at positions 341 to 792 of the family's 1533-position model. Lineage: Bacteria; Bacillati; Bacillota; Clostridia; Lachnospirales; Lachnospiraceae. The record is from RNAcentral.
ACGGAAGGCAGCAGUGGGGAAUAUUGCACAAUGGGCGAAAGCCUGAUGCAGCGACGCCGCGUGAGUGAAGAAGUAUCUCGGUAUGUAAAGCUCUAUCAGCAGGGAAGAAAAUGACGGUACCUGACUAAGAAGCCCCGGCUAACUACGUGCCAGCAGCCGCGGUAAUACGUAGGGGGCAAGCGUUAUCCGGAUUUACUGGGUGUAAAGGGUGCGUAGGCGGCAAGGCAAGUCUGAAGUGAAAGCUCGGGGCUCAACCCCGGAACUGCUUUGGAAACUGUUUAGCUAGAGUACAGGAGAGGUAAGUGGAAUUCCUAGUGUAGCGGUGAAAUGCGUAGAUAUUAGGAGGAACACCAGUGGCGAAGGCGACUUACUGGACUGACACUGACGCUGAGGCACGAAAGCGUGGGGAGCAAACAGGAUUAGAUACCCUGGUA